This 27-nucleotide non-coding RNA is filed under the name Rattus norvegicus (Norway rat). The record is from RNAcentral. Lineage: Eukaryota; Metazoa; Chordata; Mammalia; Rodentia; Muridae.
GAAUAACCACCAUUUACUCAGGUUUUC